AUGAACGCCGCCCUAGAUGCCGCCGGAGUGGCCCGCCGCCGCAGCCCACGCCUCCAUCCCCAGGUUCAGGCGAAUGAGGAGGGAGCCGGACUGAAUCUGAGGCGCAGUGCGCGUCUCCAUCCCCCAGUCCACGCAAGUGACGAGGGCGACGGAGUCACCCGCCGCCGCAGCCCUCGCCUCCAUCCCCAGGUUCAAGGAGUGGCUCGUCGGCGCAGCACGCGCCUCCGUCCCAAGGUCCACGCCACUGAGGAGGCAUCCGGAGUGAUCCGCAGCAGUCGUCGCCGCCGCCACAGCUCGCCAGCGGCGCUGGCCUCACCGCUUGAAGAUGACGAUCUCCUGAGGGAGAUCCUGCUCCGUCUCCCGCCGCAGACCUCCUCCCUGCCCCGCGCCUCAGCCGUCUGCAAGCGGUGGCGACACGCCACCACCGACCCAAGGUUCCACCGCCAGUUCCGUGCAUAUCACCAAAAGCCGCCCCUCCUUGGUUUCUUCGAGGAUCUUAUUGUCAUUGCCCCCAUGAACGGCGAGGAGUGCCGUGUGUCCAUUCCGCCGGAGUUCAAUAAACGCUAUGUCAAUGGGGCGGUGCUCUGUGCUGCUACUGAUCACGACCAUGUGCACGAAAAAUGCCACUUGAGCCCAUUCAAGGUGAUCUUGCUAUCCACGAGCACCUACUAUAGUGGUCCACAACUCAUCUUAGCAUCUAUUUACUCUUCGAAGGCUGGCAUAUGGUGCGACGUCAUCUCAACACCGACUCCAUGUGAGCUUCCUGGUGGCGGUACUCAUGGGUCACUAGUUGGUAAUGCACUUUACUGGUUGUGUAGAGAUUACAUGAUUGAGUUUGAUUUGGAUGGGCACAUCCUAGCUUUGAUCAGUGCCCCUCCCACUAUAAAUGAGUCACGUCACUUUUUUGACAUGCGUGAGGUCAUCCAGAUCAUGGAUGGCGCUGUUGGUAUCGCCAUAUUGUCUCACUAUUACCAUAACAUUCAAAUGUGGCAAAGGAAGACCAUUGACAUGCAUAACAUUGAUGGGAUCCCCCCUGGGGUUGAAGGAGUGAGGCCAGGGUUGUUAUUUAGACUGAGAUAUGCUGAGGAUACUGAUGAAAUAUUUCUAUAUGUGGGCCAUAAUGUCUAUAUGGUUCAACUUAAGUCGAUGCAAUCGAAGAAACUUUGUGAAAGCAGUUGUGUCAGUGCUCAUCAUUCUUUCAAGAGUUUCUGUAUGCCAGGUGAUUGUUCUUCAUUAGUCCUCACACGUAGUAGUAACCUAGUUAUGUUCAUAAAGGGAUGA
This 1281-nucleotide ribosomal RNA is filed under the name Triticum aestivum (bread wheat). RNAcentral's name for it is "partial small subunit ribosomal RNA". The record is from RNAcentral. Lineage: Eukaryota; Viridiplantae; Streptophyta; Magnoliopsida; Poales; Poaceae.